AUUGAACGCUGGCGGCAGGCCUAACACAUGCAAGUCGAACGCGUGGCGGACGGGUGAGUAAUGUCUGGGAAACUGCCUGAUGGAGGGGGAUAACUACUGGAAACGGUAGCUAAUACCGCAUACCAUCAGAUGUGCCCCGAUGGGAUUAGCUAGUGGGUGGGGUAACUGCUCACCAAGCCGACUAUCCAUAGCUGGUCUGAGAGGAUGACCAGCCACACUGGAACUGAGACACGGUCCAGAGGCCUACGUGAGGCAGCAGGGGGGAAUAGGGCACAAUGGGCGCAAGCCUGAUGCAGCCAUGCCGCGUGUAGGAAGAAGGCCUUCGGGUUGUAAAGUACUUUCAGCGGGGAGGCGUUACCCGCAGAAGAAGCACCGGCGAACUCCGUGCCAGCCGCCGCGGUAAUAC
RNAcentral lists this ribosomal RNA (406 nucleotides) under uncultured bacterium. RNAcentral's name for it is "partial 16S ribosomal RNA". It matches the Rfam family "Bacterial small subunit ribosomal RNA", at positions 29 to 526 of the family's 1533-position model. The record is from RNAcentral.